AUCUCGUUCUUCAUUGUAUUGUAUAAUGGCAAUAAAGAAUAUUCUAUUCUAUUCUAAAAAGCUUCAAAAACUCACUAAAAAUGCUGCUUUUACUUGAAAAUAUCAUCACAUCGACAUGAACUUUAGUGCAUUUUAAUCUUCAUUGUUGAUUUUAGGUAAAUAUCAGGCAAAGUGCAGCUAAAAGUAACAAGAACUAACACAUAAAUAGAAGUUUUUAGUUCAGUUUAGGAGUUUUCUUUCGCUAACGGAUGCAGAUGUUGAACAUGUUUCCACUCAGGAUGAUUAAAAGCUGAAUAAAUGUUCAGAGGUUAAAGUGGACAAACUGAAAUAAAACGUACCUUCUGUUCUGGUUCCUCCACAGGUUUGUGGUUCCUCUGCUGGUUUGUGGUUCCUCUGCUGGUUUGUGGUUCCUCUGCUGGUUUGUGGUUCCUCUUCAGGUUUGUGGUUCCUCUGCUGGUUUGUGGUUCCUCUGCUGGUUUGUGGUUCCUCUGCUGGUUUGUGGUUCCUCUUCAGGUUUGUGGUUCCUCUGCUGGUUUGUGGUUCCUCUUCAGGUUUGUGGUUCCUCUGCUGGUUUGUGGUUCCUCUUCAGGUUUGUGGUUCCUCUGCUGGUUUGUGGUUCCUCUUCAGGUUUGUGGUUCCUCUGCUGGUUUGUGGUUCCUCUGCUGGUUUGUGGUUCCUCUGCUGGUUUGUGGUUCUCUGCAGCUCGUCGUUGAUCUGAUUGAGAGAUUUAGUCCAGAGAGAAGCUCAGCUCCUCCGAUCCUCCUCCUUCAUCAUCAUCAUCUGCCUCCUUCCUCUUUGUUCUUUUAGUUUUUUCUCUUCAGAAGCCACGCCUCCUUUCCUCUCACGCCUCUUUUCCUUCAUCCUGUCCCCAUCUACAUGUUUAUCUGGACGUAGCCGAUCCAAAAAGUGAUUUAUAGCGACUUUUACCACAUUUCAAGUCGGUUUGGACGUUUUUUAAGACAUUUCCAACAAUUCUUGAGUCAAUUCGGACACCUUUGCAUCAUUUUGUACGGAUUCGAGUUUUCUGUGACAAUUUCUGAACUUAUGUUGGACAAGUUUCAAGACAUUUUGAGCAACUUUUAAAAUCAUUUUGAGCACUUGUUUCCAGAAUUCUUUAAAGAGUCUGUCCAAGAACUAAUUUCCAAACUAAACCUAAACUGGAAACCCUUUCAUUGGAUCAAGAUGUUAAAACAAAAACCACAGAAACGGCUGAAAUUCAUCCUGACCGUCUCUAGCACCACAUCCCACUGAGUUCUGUCUCUUUUCCAGCCAGAAGAAACCUGUUGAUCCAAAAUAAAACCUCUGUAGAUGAUUGAUUUGAGCUUUAACGGUGUGUAUUCGUGUGUUUUCAGUUUGACCUCCACUUUAAAUCCCUUCCAACGCCAACGUCAGCCUCCUCCUCUCAGCUCACCUACAUCUCAGCACCAGAGUAAUUAGCCUGAUUAAUUCCUCGUCUGACGACGGCCAACGAAUCAGGACGGCAGAUGGUGGCUUUGGGGUCGGACGGAAUCACAACACAAACAGUGGAGGCGUUGAUCAGAGACUUGAGAUCACAGGUUCAGACACGGCAGCAGAUGUUCCUCUCAGUUCAACAGAACCUCUUCAGUCUGAAUCACUGGAUUUUUAUUCCUUUGUAGAUUUAAAGCUGCUGACAGCUUCUAAAAUCUGACUUCAAACCAUGAAGAUGUGAUCCGUCAGGAAUUAGGUGACAAUAACAUUAAAGACGAGCAGACAGAUUACUACAGACGUCCCUCCAGUUAAUUUGACACCUGCCGGAGGAUUAAGCAGAUGAUCCGGUGAGUGAACACGGUCACAAAUCAAAGUUCAUGACCCAACUCUGACUCUACUCGCUCUACGUCACCGGAAUGAGGUUCAGAGUGUCUGAACAGGAAGUCUGAAAACUCCUCAACAAUCACUACAACCUCCUACUCUGGUUUACGGACAUCUACAGAAAUAUUUACUUCCUGUUUGUCUCUGUCAGGUUCCUCAGGGAUCCUGAUCAGCAGAAACUUUCAGGUCCAGACUCUAGUUUUCAUCAGGAUGGAGGUCUGGACUCUGACUCCUCCAGAACUUCCACCUUGUUAACUUCAAACAUCUCUGAGGAUCUUUGUCUGUUUGCUUCAUCGUCUGGAUGGAAAAGUGAUCUUCUUCACAUCUCAUCAUCAGGUUGUUCAUUUACCCUCUACCUUUGCCAGCCUUCCAGGACCUGCUGCUGAGGAACACCAUGAUGCUGCCACCACCAUGCUUCUUAUAAUCUAGUCUGAUGGACAUAAAGCUCCAUCCUGGUCUCCUCAGACCAAAGAACCUUCUUCCAGGUGUCUUCAGAGUCUCCACAUGUCUUCUGGUGAACUCUAGUCCACAUUUAAUUGGAGCUUUUUCCAUCAGAGUCUUUCUCUUUGUCUCCAUGAAGCUUUGACUGGUGAAGAACAGACAACAGUUGUUGGAUGAACAGUCUGAAGCUUGAAAUCCUUCAGAGGAGUCAUAGGAGUCUUGGUGGCCUCCCUCUCUAGUCGCUUUCUCCUUCAGAGAAGUCAGAGUCUUGGUGGCCUCCCUCUCUAGUCUCUUUCUACUUCAGAGGAGUCAUAGGAGUCUUGGUGGCCUCCGUCUCUAGUCUCUUCUCCUUCAGAGGAGUCAUAGAGUCUUGGUGGCCUCCCUCUCUAGUCUCUUUCUACUUCAGAGGAGUCAUAGAGUCUUGGUGGCCUCCCUCUCUCGUCUCUUUCUCCUUCAGAGGAGUCAUAGAGUCUUGGUGGCCUCCCUCUCUAGUCUCUCAGGUCUUGAGGACGUCCUGCUCUAGUCACAUUUAUUCAUGUUCCAUCUUCUUCCAUUUCUUAAUGAUGGAUUUAACUGGACUCCAGGAGAUCUUCAGGAACUUUAAAUCUUCUUGUAUUGUCCUGACUGAUGCUCUUCAACAACCUAUCCACCAGAGACUGGAGCUUCCAGACUUCCUUCAUCCUGAUCUAAGUAGAUAAAAGUUUUUGUCUGCAUCUCCUGUUUUUACUUUUGUCGACAGAAAUCAGAUGUUUUUAUGUGGAUCCAGGAAACGUUCUGUUUCUGUACACAUUUGGAUAAGAGGGACCAAACAUCCAACAUUCAGACCCCAUGCCUUUGUGUUCAGACUAUUAUGGGAUGCCUGGAGAUGUUGGUUUUGGAUGUUUAUUGUUAAUGGGUCACAGCCAGCCGGUUCUUCUGUCUAUCAAUCUCAUUACCUCGCGUGAAUUAGGCUCUGAGGAAGCCAACGAACACCAACAGAUUUAUGGCUCACAGCCAAAGACACGAGAACACGAACCCUGAAGAACGUCUGCAGGAUGGAGGUAACGCAAAACUACUGUGAGUAAAUGCAAAAGUAUUGCUAUGUGAUGCAAAGUAUUGCAAGGGAACACAAAGUACGAUAAGGUAACAAGAGAACAAAAGUAUUGCAAGGUAACACAACAAAACUCAGAGAGAACACAACGUAUGCAUGGUCACACAAAAGUACUGUAAGGUAACAAAGGAGUACUGCAAAGUAACACAAAGCUGCUGUGAUAAACUGAGCUUCCCGGGGGGCAAAUAGAUGUGACAAGGGGAAAAUGCUCAAACAAAUUUGUUAGAAAUCUCAUACAACCAAAAACAAGAGCUGCAGCUGUGUCUCACUGGAACUCUUUGUACGGUGAGACGGACCGGG
Long non-coding RNA from Acanthochromis polyacanthus (spiny chromis), 3661 nucleotides. RefSeq lists it as uncharacterized. The transcript is spliced from 3 exons. The record is from RefSeq and is a predicted model, not a curated record. Lineage: Eukaryota; Metazoa; Chordata; Actinopteri; Pomacentridae.